Molecule: long non-coding RNA, 1064 nt
Organism: Medicago truncatula (barrel medic)
Lineage: Eukaryota; Viridiplantae; Streptophyta; Magnoliopsida; Fabales; Fabaceae
Exons: 2
Source: RefSeq, a predicted model, not a curated record
CCAAGUUUUGCCAAACCCAUUAAAUGAAAGCAACUAAACAGGACGACAGCUCCUCCACUCCACUUUUGAAGAGCAGCCAGCGUUUUUUAUGGCUUUCCAAAGCCAUAUCAUUUUCCUUCUCCCUCCCUUUCAGUUACUACUGAUUUCAAAUUUCAAAUUCUCCCCAAAAUUCUCUCUCCAUCGCCUUUCAGUUUCUUCAACCCUUUCUCUGUUCCUUUUUCUUUUGCAAGUGAUUUAACUUGCUGCCCUCCUAGAUCUGGUUAUUUGGUUCAAUUAAAUUAUUAAUUUGUUGUGAUAGUGUUUUUGUGUUAAGCUUUCAAACAAAUAUUGAUAUUUAAUGGUGUUAUCCAAAAUAUUUUUGGAUUCAGUUUUAUAUGAAAACAAGUGUUGUUGGAUUCUGAUUCAUGGAUUUCUAUACCACAACUGACAGAGUAUUCUCUUAGACUAACAAUAUUAACUGGAAUCUGUUUAUCAUCACAUUUAUUGUUCAUUAUGAUAAUUACUUCCUCCCCAUUUCAGAAGAAUAUUAUUUAAUGAGUUUCUAUUUCAGUUUAGUUUUUGACUUUCUAAUUGUUUGAUCAUCUUUCCUUAUAUUUGUUAAUCAUUAGUGGAAAAUCUGGAGAUACAAAGACAUCAAAUCAGAUCAAGAGCAAGUGUAAUUCUACAUGAAAACUACUUUAAUGCGUGAACCUGAAUACCGGCCAGCUAUGUCUGAAAUUGUUCAGGAUCUCUUGCUAACGAUGUAAAAGGAUGCGACUAUCAUGAACUCCCUUACCUUAGUCAGCCUAGUUUUGUUCCCAACUUUUCUGGCCUUUACCUAUCUAUUCUUCAUUAAUUUGGUGUGAGAUCUUAAUCUUUUUUUAUUAGGUUACUUAAGCAGAAAUUCUGCUUACUAAUGUAAUUAUUGACAGGAAUUAUGUGGGGUAGUUUUAUGCAUCAUUAUUCAUUAUUGAUGCUAGUAAGUCAAAGAUGGCAUGCCUCAGUUCAUAAUAUUGGGUCAAUGUUGGCUUCGAUCAUUUAUAAACGGCUCCAGAAAUAACUUUUGUAGAAAAAUUCUCAUUCAA